CCUACGGGUGGCAGCAGUGGGGGAUAUUGCACAAUGGGGGAAACCCUGAUGCAGCGACGCCGCGUGGGUGAAGAAGGGCCUCGGGGCGUAAAGCCCUGUCAGCAGGGAAGAAAAUGACGGUACCUGAAGAAGAAGCCGCGGAUAACGACGUGCCAGCAGCCGCGGGAAGACGUAGGGGGCGAGCGUUAUCCGGAUUUACUGGGCGUAAAGGGGGCGGAGGCGGGGUUGGAAGCCAGGCGGGAAAGCCCGGGGCCCAACUCCGGGCCUGCCUUUGGAACUGGCUGGCUAGAGUGCAGGAGAGGCAGGCGGACUUCCUGGUGUAGCGGUGAAAUGCGUAGAUAUCAGGAGGAACCCCGGUGGCGAAGGCGGCCUGCUGGACUGCAACUGACGUUGAGGCCCGAAAGCGUGGGGAGCAAACAGGAUUAGAUACCCGAGUAGUC
This 440-nucleotide ribosomal RNA is filed under the name uncultured bacterium. Its description in RNAcentral is "partial 16S ribosomal RNA". It matches the Rfam family "Bacterial small subunit ribosomal RNA", at positions 338 to 795 of the family's 1533-position model. The record is from RNAcentral.